GAAAACUCAUCGUAGAGAAAGUUAUGGAUGGAAUGAUCUCCUCUCUUGUACCCCGCGAAAGCUGAAGAAUGGCUUUAGAAUCUUCCAUUCCGCUGCUCCAAAAAUCCUUAUUUGCUGCGUUACAUGUUCUCCAUUAUUCUUCUAUCAUAGGCUUGUCAGGCUGAUUCUUUCGUUUCGAAAUAUAAUAAUAAUAUUAUUCUCAGAGCAGAGAAUAUCCCCCCUUUCUUUCGGGCUCAUUUGUGUCACCGUAAAGGCUUUUUUGAAAGGAGAGGGAUGCUAUUUGUUUAUUUG
RNAcentral lists this long non-coding RNA (291 nucleotides) under Gossypium barbadense (sea-island cotton). RNAcentral's name for it is "long non-coding RNA (GBAR_LNC009060)". Lineage: Eukaryota; Viridiplantae; Streptophyta; Magnoliopsida; Malvales; Malvaceae. The record is from RNAcentral.